RNAcentral lists this ribosomal RNA (497 nucleotides) under uncultured bacterium. RNAcentral's name for it is "partial 16S ribosomal RNA". It matches the Rfam family "Bacterial small subunit ribosomal RNA", at positions 28 to 507 of the family's 1533-position model. The record is from RNAcentral.
GAUGAACGCUGGCGGCGUGCCUAAUACAUGCAAGUCGAGCGAACAGACGAGGAGCUUGCUCCUCUGACGUUAGCGGCGGACGGGUGAGUAACACGUGGAUAACCUACCUAUAAGACUGGGAUAACUUCGGGAAACCGGAGCUAAUACCGGAUAAUAUAUUGAACCGCAUGGUUCAAUAGUGAAAGACGGUCUUGCUGUCACUUAUAGAUGGAUCCGCGCCGCAUUAGCUAGUUGGUAAGGUAACGGCUUACCAAGGCAACGAUGCGUAGCCGACCUGAGAGGGUGAUCGGCCACACUGGAACUGAGCCACGGUCCAGCCUCCUACGGGAGGCAGCAGUAGGGAAUCUUCCGCAAUGGGCGAAGGCUUGACGGAGCAACGCCGCGUGAGUGAUGAAGGUCUUCGGAUCGUAAAACUCUGUUAUUAGGGAAGAACAAAUGUGGAAGUAACUAUGCACGUCUUGACGGUACCUAAUCAGAAAGCAAGGGCUAACUACGUG